Molecule: ribosomal RNA, 510 nt
Filed under: uncultured bacterium
Lineage: Bacteria
Description: partial 16S ribosomal RNA
Rfam family: Bacterial small subunit ribosomal RNA
Source: RNAcentral
GACGAACGCUGGCGGCGUGCUUAACACGUGCAAGUCGAACGAAGAGCGAUGGAAGCUUGCUUUUAUAAAUCUUAGUGGCGAACGGGUGAGUAACGCGUAAUCAACCUUCCCUUCAGUGGGGGACAACAGUAGGAAACGACUGUUAAUACUGCAUACGUUCUAAUCUCGGCAUCGAGGACAGAUGAAAGGCGGGCUCUACAUGUACGCUAUCAUUGAAGGCGGGGGUUGCGUCUGUUUAGUUGGUUUGAGGGGUUCCGUGCCAUCAAGGUGAUGCUCAGUAGCCGGUCGGAGAGGAGGAGCGGCCAGAUUGGGACUGAGACGCGGCCCAUUCUCCUACGGAAGGCAGCAAGGAUGAUUCUGCCGCAAUGGAUGAAAGUCUUACGGGGCAACGCCGCGUGAGUGAUGACCACCUUCGGGUUGUAAAGCUCUGUUAAUCGGGUCGAAAGACCUUCUGGCGAAUAGUGAGAAGGAUUGACGGUACCGGAAUAGAAAGCAACGGCUAACUACGUG